GGUGCCCCACCCACUGCUGAGGGGCGGUAUCUGUUGCCUUCAGGACACCAGCUGGCUAGACCUCUGACCUAGAAUUCACUUCCUGCAGCUCCUGGAGUCCCUGGGACUUUGGGAGAAAAAUAACACGAGGAAGCAUAUUGGAGCAGCCGCUGAGGAACUGGAAUGACAUUGCCUAAGGAAACUAAAACUUGAACUACAAGGCCCAGCCAUCUGACUUCCAGGCAAUACCUCAAAGAAAGGGAACGGCUUCACUGUUCUCCCACUUCUUGGUAGCAUUCCUUCAGGGAGUGAAAACAAGCCUCCAAUGACCAGUUCUCAGUGGGGAGGAGCUAUACCCAGUUCCACAUUUGACGAAGACAGAUGUGUGUUGCAACCAAGCCACUUAGGAAGCAAACAUUUCGUCAUAACGGAUUAAUUUUUAACCCAAAUCAAUAAAGCUUAGUUUUGUAUUAAAAAA
Long non-coding RNA from Meriones unguiculatus (Mongolian gerbil), 457 nucleotides. RefSeq lists it as uncharacterized. The transcript has 3 exons. The record is from RefSeq and is a predicted model, not a curated record. Lineage: Eukaryota; Metazoa; Chordata; Mammalia; Rodentia; Muridae.